UGUGUGGAAUAUUAGCACAAUGGGCGAAAGCCUGAUGCAGCAACGCCGCGUGAGGGAUGACGGCCUUCGGGUUGUAAACCUCUUUUAGCAGGGAAGAAGCGAAAGUGACGGUACCUGCAGAAAAAGCGCCGGCUAACUACGUGCCAGCAGCCGCGGUAAUUA
RNAcentral lists this ribosomal RNA (162 nucleotides) under uncultured bacterium. Its description in RNAcentral is "partial 16S ribosomal RNA". It matches the Rfam family "Bacterial small subunit ribosomal RNA", at positions 353 to 525 of the family's 1533-position model. The record is from RNAcentral.